CAGUCGCCGCGGGAAUACGUAGGUCCCGAGCGUUGUCCGGAUUUAUUGGGCGUAAAGCGAGCGCAGGCGGUUAGAAAAGUCUGAAGUGAAAGGCAGUGGCUCAACCAUUGUAGGCUUUGGAAACUGUUUAACUUGAGUGCAGAAGGGGAGAGUGGAAUUCCAUGUGUAGCGGUGAAAUGCGUAGAUAUAUGGAGGAACACCGGUGGCGAAAGCGGCUCUCUGGUCUGUAACUGACGCUGAGGCUCGAAAGCGUGGGGAGCGAACAGGAUUAGAUACCCCAGUAGUCCCUGUCUCUUAUACC
This 301-nucleotide ribosomal RNA is filed under the name uncultured bacterium. RNAcentral's name for it is "partial 16S ribosomal RNA". It matches the Rfam family "Bacterial small subunit ribosomal RNA", at positions 509 to 808 of the family's 1533-position model. The record is from RNAcentral.